Trichosurus vulpecula (common brushtail) is the source of this 107-nucleotide small nuclear RNA. NCBI's taxonomy places the organism in Eukaryota, Metazoa, Chordata, Mammalia, Diprotodontia, Phalangeridae. The record is from RefSeq and is a predicted model, not a curated record.
AUGCUAACUUCAGCAGCGGACAUACUAAAAUUGGAAUCAUACGAUGAAGAUUAACAUGACCGCUGCACAAAAAUGACACACAAAUUUGUGAAAAAUUCCAUAUUUUU